CCAGGCUUUUAUCACCUUUCCCAAUAAGGAGAUAGCAUGGCAAGCAUUGCAUCUAGUAAAUGGAUAUAAACUACAUGGGAAAAUAUUGGUGAUAGAGUUUGGAAAGAACAAAAAGCAACGGUCAAAUCUCCAAGCGACUUCUCUCAUAUCAUGUGCUACAGGCAUAUGAAUUUUAGAAGAGUAACAUACAAGCAAAGAAUACCAAAGGGAAAUGGAAAGAAAGCGUUCUCUAGAAAAGAGGAUGCCAGUCACAAAUCCCCCAGUUGUUUGUUUAUGGUUGCUGGAAAAUAAAAAGACAAUAUACAGAGAGGAAGUAGUACAAACUGGAGUCA
RNAcentral lists this small RNA (332 nucleotides) under Pongo abelii (Sumatran orangutan). RNAcentral's name for it is "processed transcript". Lineage: Eukaryota; Metazoa; Chordata; Mammalia; Primates; Hominidae. The record is from RNAcentral.